This 434-nucleotide ribosomal RNA is filed under the name uncultured Lachnospiraceae bacterium. RNAcentral describes it as "bacterial SSU rRNA". It matches the Rfam family "Bacterial small subunit ribosomal RNA", at positions 341 to 792 of the family's 1533-position model. The record is from RNAcentral. Lineage: Bacteria; Bacillati; Bacillota; Clostridia; Lachnospirales; Lachnospiraceae.
ACGGGAGGCAGCAGUGGGGAAUAUUGGACAAUGGGGGCAACCCUGAUCCAGCGACGCCGCGUGAGUGAAGAAGUAUUUCGGUAUGUAAAGCUCUAUCAGCAGGGAAGAAAAUGACGGUACCUGACUAAGAAGCCCCGGCUAACUACGUGCCAGCAGCCGCGGUAAUACGUAGGGGGCAAGCGUUAUCCGGAUUUACUGGGUGUAAAGGGAGCGUAGACGGCGAUGCAAGUCUGAAGUGAAAGCCCGCGGCUUAACUGCGGAACUGCUUUGGAAACUGUAUUGCUAGAGUGUCGGAGAGGUGAGUGGAAUUCCCAGUGUAGCGGUGAAAUGCGUAGAUAUUGGGAGGAACACCGGUGGCGAAGGCGGCUCACUGGACGAUAACUGACGUUGAUGCUCGAAAGCGUGGGGAGCAAACAGGAUUAGAUACCCUGGUA